This is a non-coding RNA of Paramuricea clavata, 85 nucleotides long. The record is from the annotation of a GenBank genome assembly. NCBI's taxonomy places the organism in Eukaryota, Metazoa, Cnidaria, Anthozoa, Malacalcyonacea, Plexauridae.
CGGGCAAGCUUGAAAAAUAUGCCUGACCACGGUGGUCAGGCAUAUUUUUCCCACCGUGGUCAGGCAUAUUUUUCAAGCUUGCCCG